GCCGGAGUAGCUCAGUUGGUAGAGCGCAGCUCUUGUAAAGCUGAUGUCGUGGGUUCGAGUCCCGCCUCCGGCU
Molecule: transfer RNA, 73 nt
Filed under: Gaiellaceae bacterium
Lineage: Bacteria; Bacillati; Actinomycetota; Thermoleophilia; Gaiellales; Gaiellaceae
Also listed under: 2 other names
Description: tRNA-Thr
Rfam family: tRNA
About the family: Transfer RNA (tRNA) molecules are approximately 80 nucleotides in length.
Source: RNAcentral